RNAcentral lists this signal recognition particle RNA (83 nucleotides) under bovine gut metagenome. Its description in RNAcentral is "Bacterial small signal recognition particle RNA". It matches the Rfam family "Bacterial small signal recognition particle RNA", at positions 9 to 86 of the family's 97-position model. Rfam says of the family: The signal recognition particle (SRP) is a universally conserved ribonucleoprotein involved in the co-translational targeting of proteins to membranes. Archaeal SRP consists of a 7S RNA and homologues of the eukaryotic SRP19 and SRP54 proteins. The record is from RNAcentral.
CCAUCGCGAUGAUUGACCGCGAACCAGGUCAGGACAGGAAUGUAGCAGCCUUAAGUGAAUUAGUCAUGUGCGGUGGUUUCUUA